UACGGAGGAUCCGAGCGUUAUCCGGAUUUAUUGGGUUUAAAGGGUGCGUAGGCGGCCUUGUAAGUCAGCGGUGAAAUUUUGCAGCUUAACUGUAACAGUGCCGUUGAUACUGGGGAGCUAGGAUUUGGUUGCUGUGGGUGGAAUGUGUGGUGUAGCGGUGAAAUGCUUAGAGAUCACACAGAAUAUCGAUUGCGAAGGCAGCUCACAAAGCCAAGAUUGACGCUGAGGCACGAAAGUGUGGGGAUCAAACAGGAUUAGA
This 259-nucleotide ribosomal RNA is filed under the name uncultured prokaryote. RNAcentral's name for it is "partial 16S ribosomal RNA". It matches the Rfam family "Bacterial small subunit ribosomal RNA", at positions 524 to 782 of the family's 1533-position model. The record is from RNAcentral.